CCUACGGGUGGCAGCAGUCGAGAAUCAUUCACAAUGGGGGAAACCCUGAUGGUGCGACGCCGCGUGGGGGAAUGAAGGUCUUCGGAUUGUAAACCCCUGUCAUGUGGGAGCAAAUUAAAAAGAUAGUACCACAAGAGGAAGAGACGGCUAACUCUGUGCCAGCAGCCGCGGUAAUACAGAGGUCUCAAGCGUUGUUCGGAAUCACUGGGCGUAAAGCGUGCGUAGGCUGUUUCGUAAGUCGUGUGUGAAAGGCGCGGGCUCAACCCGCGGACGGCACAUGAUACUGCGAGACUAGAGUAAUGGAGGGGGAACCGGAAUUCUCGGUGUAGCAGUGAAAUGCGUAGAUAUCGAGAGGAACACUCGUGGCGAAGGCGGGUUCCUGGACAUUAACUGACGCUGAGGCACGAAGGCCAGGGGAGCGAGAGGGAUUAGAUACCCGGGUAGUC
RNAcentral lists this ribosomal RNA (446 nucleotides) under uncultured bacterium. RNAcentral describes it as "partial 16S ribosomal RNA". It matches the Rfam family "Bacterial small subunit ribosomal RNA", at positions 338 to 795 of the family's 1533-position model. The record is from RNAcentral.